RNAcentral lists this ribosomal RNA (206 nucleotides) under uncultured bacterium. RNAcentral's name for it is "partial 16S ribosomal RNA". It matches the Rfam family "Bacterial small subunit ribosomal RNA", at positions 568 to 773 of the family's 1533-position model. The record is from RNAcentral.
UGCGUAGGCGGUGCAGCAAGUCGGGUGUGAAAUCCUCCAGCUCAACUGGAGAAUUGCGCCCGAAACUGCUGUGCUUGAGAAAGAUAGAGGUACGCGGAACUUAGGGUGGAGCGGUGAAAUGCGUUGAUAUCCUAAGGAACACCGGUGGCGAAAGCGGCGUACUGGGUCUUUUCUGACGCUGAGGCACGAAAGCUAGGGUAGCAACG